AAAACUAUAUUUAACUAAAAUGCAAGUGUUCUUUGAGGUCUUUGACUUGUAAUGAAUAUAGGCUAACUCUCACUUCGAGAGGAUUUACAAUGUGUUAUCUUCGCUUUCCCAAUUGAUUUGAAUUUCAAUUGAGAACAUAUGCCUUAAUCUUUUAAGUGGGUUGUUUGUGAACACUUUGUAAGCCCUUAAGCUUUGAUGAUAAAAUAACAUAAUAUGAGAACAACUAGGCUACUAUAAUGUAAUGUGUGUUUAAGUGUGAAAGAAAUUCUAGAAAUGCAUUUGUUGCACAGAUAUGUGAAAAAAGAUGUUCAUGUACCGAGUAUAAGAAGUUUUACAAGCGUAAGGUAGAUGAUUCGGUUAAACGUGAGUGUUUGUUUCGUGUGAGAGGUUAUUUGUUGCUUGCUUAUUAUUG
This 412-nucleotide long non-coding RNA is filed under the name Medicago truncatula (barrel medic). RNAcentral's name for it is "long non-coding RNA (MTRU_LNC002131)". The record is from RNAcentral. Lineage: Eukaryota; Viridiplantae; Streptophyta; Magnoliopsida; Fabales; Fabaceae.